This 540-nucleotide unclassified non-coding RNA is filed under the name Hevea brasiliensis (rubber tree). Lineage: Eukaryota; Viridiplantae; Streptophyta; Magnoliopsida; Malpighiales; Euphorbiaceae. The record is from RNAcentral.
AAAAAUCCCAAAGCAGUUGAUUUUAUUAGUUUUACAGUGAUAUAAAAUUGCCCCCACCAGCAUCUUCCUGAAUCAAAACAUUUAGCCACAGAAAAGGAAAUGUGAUUUUUUAGCCCACCCAAAAGAGCAAAAUAGCCUGAAUUGUCAGAUGACAGAAAGAAGGAGGGAAAAUCAGUAUAACAUUGGGAAGUUAAAAUCCAUAAAAUAUUAUUCAGUUUCAGCUUCUCAAGAAGAAAGAAAAACCAGAUCCCAUUAUUCUUCUACUAUUGUCUUUGGUUAUAUGGAAUGAAACAAAAGCUAAAAGGAAUAACUGGGGAUCAUUUCAUUCGACGCAGACAGGACAUAAUGUAUUCCAACCACUACCGUGAUCAUUCAUUAUCAAUAAAAAUCUAAUCUUUAGAUAGAGUUUUGUUUUGGUUGUGAUUUGAAAUUAACAGUUUGAUUCUGUUUGAGGAAAGUGCAAGUAAAGUUGGUCAAUUAGUGAACAAAAACAAAAUUAAAAGCUUGAUUAGCAAUAGAGAGAGCGCAGGGAAAACAGAG